This is a non-coding RNA of Canis lupus familiaris (dog), 2091 nucleotides long. NCBI's taxonomy places the organism in Eukaryota, Metazoa, Chordata, Mammalia, Carnivora, Canidae. The record is from Rfam.
CCCGCUGAAUUUAGGUAUACUUUAGUCAGCCUGCAAAAAGAACCUAGCCAGGAUUCUCUCAGUAAGGGUGAAUGAGCACCCUGAAAGUUGAACUUUGUAGGGCUUUCAAGAGGGCGUUAAGAGGUAAAUAGGUGCAGUCCGGCAAUCCUCCUGGGAGGAUCCAACAGGGCAGCGUGUGUGGCCUUGUCAGCAGUCUGGUGGAUUUUCCCAUCCCUCCUUCCUCUGGACCCCUCCAUCUGCCCUCCCUCCUCCUAGGAGGGGGUCUCUGUUGGUGCAGGGUGGGGCUGGUGACCAGACUCAGCGCAUUUCCACGGCUGCAGUGCACCUCCACUGGCUCUGGGUCGGGAGGGAAGGCUGGCAGGGAAGAUGUUUACAGGGUGGGGUGCUGCUCUUUCUGGAGGGUGGGCUCACCCAGCAGUGUUACACCCCCACCUCCACAGCAGCUCUCCUGAAUUCAUGGCCAAGGGAGCAGACCAGCUUUCCCCCCUCUGAGGGCCCGCCCUCAGGGAGGGGCAUGCUGCUGUGAGGGGGGACUGCCUCCAGCAACUGGGCCCCCAGCCGGUCCAUGCGCUAUUUGUGACCAAAGCACAGGGAAGUGAAUGCAGGGGGUCAUGGGUAAUGUUGACCACCCAUCCCACACAUCUUGAAACAUGGACCAAGUUGUCUAAUACGUGGGCCAGUUGGGGACUCUCAGGAAAGCCGCUGUGGGGCAAUGAAGGUGAAUGCUGGCCCUGGUAACCUGCAGAGGUGGGAUCCCGAGACCUCUCUGGUCCCCCAAGGGUGUAUCACUGGCCCUUCUUGCCUGCUGCGCCAGGAGGUGGAGCAUGAGCACAGGUGUUAGGACCAGAAAGGUGGUGAAUGAUGCCUGGGCACAGUGAAGCCAGAGGAAGCUCUGCUGGAGGUCCUAGUAUGCAAAUCCGUAGUCCAACCUGGGUACAGGGGCGAAAGACUACUGGAGCCAUCUAAUAGCUUGGUUCCCUUCCAAGUUUCCCUCAGGAGAACCGGCGCUCUCACAUGAGAACUCAUGCAGUUUUAUCUGGUAAAGUGAAUGAUUAGAGAUCUUGGGGCCAAUUGUAAGGGAGCUGGGUUCAGAUCCCCGAAUCCAGGGUGUUGGAGAUGGUCUCCUUGAGGUGUCUAGUGCAGUAAUACAAUGAUCUGGGAGAAGCCAGUGGGAGCCUUGGGGAGAGUUCUCUUUUGUUUGAGAAGGGCAGGGUACCCUGGAAUGGGUUCACCUGGAAUUAGGGGCUCCUGCCUUGGAGACCUUGCCAGUUCCUAUGGUAUCCAGGGAGCUCUCACUGGCGCUUGAAAAUCUAGGGGUGAGGAUGUAAAUCUCGCACUGGGCCGUACCCAUACCCGCAGCAGGUCGCCAAGGUGAACAGCCUCUACCACAUAGGAAUAGUGUAGGUAAGGAAGGCGGUAAGGAUUAGGAUUGGGUCUAAGCCCUGGGUGGUUCUGGCUGAGGGGGGAAGUGGGGUGGGUACCCCCCAGGGAUGGAAGGAGGCACAGGAGGCGUGAGAGCCCCCCACUCCCCCACCCUCAUGCCUCUAGGCUGGUCUCCUCUACACCACCCUGCAGGGGUCCCCACCCCCUCUCUCCUCUCUCUCUCCUCUCCCUCUCCCUCCCAGAUGGGGGGCUGGGAGGCAGGUGAGUGCACUGGGGGGACCGUAGGGCUAGGUCAACAGCAGCACUACUGACUCUGGAUGUGAGCCUAGCCCUUCCCAGGGUUCUCAACCCCCUCUGCCCCUGCUCUUGCACCCCUCAUUGCUGAGGCAGUCAGUGCAGCCCUCCCUCCUCCCCAUGGUACCUAGCAGCCUAUUUAGAACUGAUGUGGACCAGGAGAAUCCAACCCUUUAAUUAAAACAAAGCAUGGGGAAGGCCCACAACAGGUGCUGACAUGAUUUCUGCCCAGUGUUCUGAAUGUCAAAGUGAAGAAACUCAAUGAAGCAUGAGUCAAAGACAGGAGUAACUGGGUCUCUCUUAAGGUAGACAAAUGCCUCGUGGUCUAAUCAGUGAUGGGCAUGAAUGGAUGAAUGAGAUUCCCACUGUCCCUCCUACUGCCCAGCAAAACCACAGGCAAGGGACAAGGCUUGG